UGAAGAUAAAUUGAUUUAUGUUUGAAUAUAUUCAUGUAAAAGUGAGUUAAAUAAAAAAAAAAAGAGUGGAUAUUCAGCAAGACUUUUUUUGUCCGCAAACAACUUAUUACUUUGUUGUUCCUACUUUGUUGUUCCUCUAUUACCCAAGCGGGUAUGAGAAUGGAUAUAUGUAUUUUUUCAACGUGCAGGUAUGGGAAUAGGUAUCAUAGUACUCUUACCAUACCUUACCAAUUGUCAUCCCUAAUAAUCAAAAUAUUUAUCAUAAAAUAAUUAUACAGAAAUAUUUUCAAUAAUACAUCAUAAUUUUAGUCUAAGUUUUAAUCUCCCAAAAUUCUUAUCAUUGAUAUUAUAAAAAUUUAAUU
RNAcentral lists this long non-coding RNA (362 nucleotides) under Trifolium pratense (red clover). RNAcentral describes it as "long non-coding RNA (TPRA_LNC011465)". The record is from RNAcentral. Lineage: Eukaryota; Viridiplantae; Streptophyta; Magnoliopsida; Fabales; Fabaceae.